RNAcentral lists this transfer RNA (61 nucleotides) under Rhopalus latus. Its description in RNAcentral is "tRNA-Gly". It matches the Rfam family "tRNA". From Rfam's summary of the family: Transfer RNA (tRNA) molecules are approximately 80 nucleotides in length. Their secondary structure includes four short double-helical elements and three loops (D, anti-codon, and T loops). The record is from RNAcentral. RNAcentral also lists the same sequence under 4 other names. Lineage: Eukaryota; Metazoa; Arthropoda; Insecta; Hemiptera; Rhopalidae.
ACUUUUUUAGUAUAAUUAAUAUAUUUGACUUCCAAUCAAAAGAUCUUAUUAAGAAAAAGUA